This 222-nucleotide ribosomal RNA is filed under the name uncultured Bacillota bacterium. RNAcentral describes it as "uncultured Firmicutes bacterium partial 16S ribosomal RNA". It matches the Rfam family "Bacterial small subunit ribosomal RNA", at positions 114 to 334 of the family's 1533-position model. Lineage: Bacteria; Bacillati; Bacillota. The record is from RNAcentral.
CGCGUGAGCAACCUGCCUUUAUCAGGGGGAUAACGCAUCGAAAGAUGUGCUAAUACCGCGUAAGACCACAGCUUCACAUGGAGCGGGGGUCAAAGGAGCAAUCCGGAUAAAGAUGGGCUCGCGUCCGAUUAGCUAGUUGGUGAGAUAACAGCCCACCAAGGCGACGAUCGGUAGCCGACCUGAGAGGGUGAUCGGCCACAUUGGAACUGAGAGACGGUCCAG